ACAACAAUUUUUUCUUUGAAAAAGGUUUGACAAGCAAAGGGAAUUGUUAUAAUAUAUAUAACGUCGCCGAUAAAC
This 75-nucleotide transfer RNA is filed under the name Halobacillus sp. BAB-2008. Its description in RNAcentral is "tRNA-Asn". Lineage: Bacteria; Bacillati; Bacillota; Bacilli; Caryophanales; Bacillaceae. The record is from RNAcentral.